GUGGGGAAUAUUGGACAAUGGGGGGAACCCUGAUCCAGCCAUGCCGCGUGUGUGAAGAAGGCCUUUUGGUUGUAAAGCACUUUAAGUGGGGAGGAGGCUUACCUGGUUAAUACCUGGGCUAAGUGGACGUUACCCACAGAAUAAGCACCGGCUAACUCUGUGCCAGCAGCCGCGGUAAUACAGAGGGUGCGAGCGUUAAUCGGAUUUACUGGGCGUAAAGCGCGCGUAGGUGGUUAAUUAAGUCAAAUGUGAAAUCCCCGAGCUUAACUUGGGAAUUGCAUUCGAUACUGGUUGGCUAGAGUAUGGGAGAGGAUGGUAGAAUUCCAGGUGUAGCGGUGAAAUGCGUAGAGAUCUGGAGGAAUACCGAUGGCGAAGGCAGCCAUCUGGCCUAAUACUGACACUGAGGUGCGAAAGCAUGGGGAGCAAACAGGAUUAGAAACCCGGGUAUCC
RNAcentral lists this ribosomal RNA (450 nucleotides) under uncultured bacterium. RNAcentral describes it as "partial 16S ribosomal RNA". It matches the Rfam family "Bacterial small subunit ribosomal RNA", at positions 354 to 795 of the family's 1533-position model. The record is from RNAcentral.